CCAAGCAUCUGUUGCCAGGAAACAGACACAUGUUUAAAGAGCCGUGGUUACAGACUGUGAGCUUUAUACAGCCUGUAUUGAAUGGACAUGGGUCACUUUUAUAAGGAGGGAUGAGAGAGGUGAAGAGGAUGACAGAGGUGCUGAGCAAAGGGAGUCUUCAGGGAACAAGAGGAGGCAUGGAACCCAGAGGUGACUGACCUUUGAUUCAGAAGGUGCUGCAGACACCUCUGCCUGCUCCUGAGGGCUCUUCUAACUCUACAUCAACUUGAGAACAUGCCUGAGCAAGCCUGCUGAAGGGAAAGAGAUACAUGGCACAGAGCUGAGAUUCUCCAACUGCCCAGUCAUGGCCAUCUCAAAUCAGCGAGCACCUGGCUGGCCCCAGACACCUGAGCAAGACAAGUCAAGACCAGAAGAGCCUCCCAGCUGACACCAACCAACUCUGGAUUCAUGAACAACAAACACAGAUAUAGUAGGGGUUGUGUAUUGUUAUACACAAUA
Peromyscus maniculatus bairdii (prairie deer mouse) is the source of this 498-nucleotide non-coding RNA. The record is from RefSeq and is a predicted model, not a curated record. Lineage: Eukaryota; Metazoa; Chordata; Mammalia; Rodentia; Cricetidae.